RNAcentral lists this ribosomal RNA (1648 nucleotides) under metagenome. RNAcentral's name for it is "bacterial LSU rRNA". It matches the Rfam family "Bacterial large subunit ribosomal RNA", at positions 1308 to 2925 of the family's 2925-position model. The record is from RNAcentral.
CUCGAUAAACAGGAUGAGAAAUCCUGUCGCCGUAAGCCCAAGGUUUCCUGGGGAAGGAUAAUCCUCCCAUGGGUUAGUCGGUCCCUAAGCCGAGGCUGAAAAGCGUAGGUGAUGGAAAGCAGGUUAAUAUUCCUGCACCACGAGGGAUGGCGUUGAAACGAGCAGGAACGGAGAAGGGUAUGCUGAGCCGGCUGAUGGACGUGCCGGUUCAAGCCUGUAGGUAGGUGGCGUAGGAGUCGAUAGACACAAACGCGCUGCCAAUACCGAGAGGCGAUGAGGUGGAGCUCCGGCUCCGGAACUCAGUGAUCCCAUGCUUCCAAGAAAAGCUGCGCGUGGAGCCACUUUCGUGACCGUACCGCAAACCGACUCAGGUGGGCGGGGUGAAUAUCCCAAGGCGCGUGAGAGAACACUGGCUAAGGAACUCGGCAAAUUGACACCGUAACUUCGGGAGAAGGUGUGCCUGUUGAGGUGAAGGGCUUCGCGUCCGGAGCCUCGGUGGGUUGCAGAGACCAGGGGGUAGCGACUGUUUACUAAAAACAUAGGACUCUGCGAACUCGAAAGAGGACGUAUAGGGUCUGACGCCUGCCCGGUGCUGGAAGGUUAAGGGGAGCUGUCAGAGCAAUCGAAGCAGCGAACCGAAGCCCCAGUAAACGGCGGCCGUAACAAUAACGGUCCUAAGGUAGCGAAAUUCCUUGUCGGGUAAGUUCCGACCUGCACGAAUGGCGUAACGACUUCCCCACUGUCUCGGUCAGUGACUCAGCGAAAUUGUAUUGGGGGUGAAGAUACCCUCUACCCGCGGCAAGACGGAAAGACCCCAUGAACCUUUACUGCAACUUGGCAGUGAAGUUCGGGGCAGCCUGCGUAGGAUAGGUGGGAGGCUUUGAUGUCGGGAUUCUGGUCUCGGCGGAGCCAUCCUUGAAAUACCACCCUGGCUGUUCUGGCCUUCUAACCCAGGCCCGUAAUCCGGGUCGGGGACACUGCCUGGUGGGCAGUUUGACUGGGGCGGUCGCCUCCAAAAGAGUAACGGAGGCGCGCGAAGGUUCCCUCAGGCUGAAUGGAAACCAGCCGUAGAGUGUAAAGGCAUAAGGGAGCUUGACUGUGAGACCGACAGGUCGAACAGGUGCGAAAGCAGGUCUUAGUGAUCCGGUGGCACUGCAUGGAAGGGCCAUCGCUCAACGGAUAAAAGGUACUCUGGGGAUAACAGGCUGAUCGCGCCUGAGAGUUCAUAUCGGCGGCGCGGUUUGGCACCUCGAUGUCGGCUCAUCGCAUCCUGGGGCUGGAGCAGGUCCCAAGGGUUUGGCUGUUCGCCAAUUAAAGCGGUACGCGAGCUGGGUUUAGAACGUCGUGAGACAGUUCGGUCCCUAUCUGCCGUGGGCGUAGGACACUUGAGAGGAGCUGUUCAUAGUACGAGAGGACCUGAAUGGACGUACCUCUGGUGUUCCGGUUGUUCCGCCAGGAGCAUAGCCGGGUAGCCAUGUACGGAACGGAUAACCGCUGAAAGCAUCUAAGCGGGAAGCCGGCCUCAAGAUUAGGUGUCCCGGACUUCGGUCCCUAAAGGCCCCUCGUAGACUACGAGGUGAUAGGCCAGGUGUGGAAGCGCAGCAAUGCGUGGAGCUGACUGGUACUAAUCGGCCGUGCGGCUUUUCCU